Transfer RNA from Sporothrix schenckii ATCC 58251, 103 nucleotides. It matches the Rfam family "tRNA". Rfam says of the family: Transfer RNA (tRNA) molecules are approximately 80 nucleotides in length. The record is from Rfam. Lineage: Eukaryota; Fungi; Ascomycota; Sordariomycetes; Ophiostomatales; Ophiostomataceae.
GCCCGUAUAGCUCAGUGGUAGAGCGUAUCACUUGUAUUGCCGACUAGCGCGGCAGUCAUUGUGCGAGAUGCUAAGGUCCAUGGUUCAAUCCCAUGUGCGGGCA